RNAcentral lists this ribosomal RNA (921 nucleotides) under Betta rutilans. RNAcentral describes it as "partial 16S ribosomal RNA". The stretch from base 152 to 921 matches the Rfam family "Bacterial large subunit ribosomal RNA", at positions 568 to 1847 of the family's 2925-position model. The record is from RNAcentral. Lineage: Eukaryota; Metazoa; Chordata; Actinopteri; Anabantiformes; Osphronemidae.
CUAUUAAUACCCCCAAAAACACCGACUGAUAAGCAACAAACCAUUUUUCCUCCCAAGUACGGGCGACAGAAAAGGACACCUACAUGAGCCAUAAAAAAGUACCGCAAGGGAACGCUGAAAAAGAAAUGAAACAAACCAGUAAAGUUUAAAAAAGCAGAGACUUAUACUCGUACCUUUUGCAUCAUGACUUAGCUAGCAAAAAUCAAGCAAAAGGCACUUUAGUUUGACUUCCCGAAACUAAGUGAGCUACUCCAAGACAGCCUAAAAGCAGGGCUAACCCGUCUCUGUGGCAAAAGAGUGGGGUGAUCUUAGAGUAGAGGCGACAAACCUAUCGAACUUAGUAAUAGCUGGUUGCCUAAGAAAUGAAUAAGAGUUCAGCUUUUUGAUUUUUCUUCUCAAAUUUAUUUCACUUAUAACUGACCCAGAAAACACCAAAAAAGUUAAUUAAAGGGGGUACAGCUCCUUUAAAACAAGACACGACUUCAUCAGCCGGGUAAGGAUCAUAAUUAUUAAGGCAAAAAUGUUUUAGUGGGCCUGAAAGCAGCCACCUACAAGAAAGCGUUAAAGCUCAUUCAUACUUUCGCCAUCAAUUUAGAUAACAAAUCCCAACCCGCUAAUUUUAUUAGGCCGCCCCAUGUAUACAUGGGGGCGAUUCUGCUAAUAUGAGUAAUAAGAAAAAUCCAGUUUUUCUCCUUGCACACGUGUAAAUCGAAACGGACCCCCCACCGAAUUUUAAUCGGCCCCAAAAGAGGGUAAUGAGCCACUAACUUUAGUAACAAGAAAAAUACCCAAAGAUUAACCGUUAGCCCCACACUGGUGUGCUUACAAGGAAAGACUAAAAGAAAAAGAAGGAACUCGGCAAAUACAAGCCUCGCCUGUUUACCAAAAACACCGCCUCUUGUACACAAAAAUAAGAGGUCA